AGAGCCGGUUCAAUGCCCCUCGGGUUGGAUUGUUAUUUCCUAUAAAUGCUAUUUCUUUUCCAAAGAGAAAAAAACUAAAAAUGAAAGUGAUCGAUUCUGUGUGAAUCAUGGAGCAAAACUAGCGACUGUCAAAGGAAAUGAUCACCUGUUACGGGUAUAAUUAAUUGUUAUUUUACCAAAUAAAAUGUUUUGUUAGUAAUAGAGUUGACCGAACCAGAACUGUUAAGUUUUGACCCCGAACCCGGACAUUUCAGUAACCGUUCGUGUUCGAGUUCGGUGUUCGGCGAUUUAAUGGUGCGUUUUGAAAAGGGGGGAGGACCUAUUGUCCUCCCCCACGGCCCCCACCCCUGAGCAGCGGGUGGGGGCCCUAAGUACCAAUAAGGGGGGGACCUAUUGUCCUCCCCCUGGCCCCAACCCCUGAGCAGCGGGGUUGUCUUCCCCCCUGGCCACCACCCCUGAGAGGUGGGUGGGGGCCCUAAAUUAGAAUAAGAGGGGGACCUAAUGUCCUCCCCCCUGUCCCCCACCCCUGAGUGGUGGGUGGGGGCCCUAAAUAAAAAUUGGGGGGUGGAUUUCAAGCCAACCAAUCAGAGUGCUGUGACAGGUAGCACUCUAAUUUAGAGCCCCCACCCACGGCUCAGGGGUGGGGGGUCAGGGGGAGGACAUUAGGUCCCCCCCAUUGGUAUUUAGGGCCCCCACCCACCGCUCAGGGAUGGGGGCCAGGGGGGAGGACAUUAGGUCCCCAUCCCAAUUUUUAUUUAGGUCCCCCACCCACCGCUCAAGGGUGGGGACCGGGUGGGGGACAAUAGGUCCCCCCCCCUUAUUUUACUUUAGGGCCCCACCUGCCAUUUUUUUUUUUUUUUACGGUGAGCAGCCAUAGGCAUAUACCUACGGUAUAGCGAGUAGGGACAUGAUUUACUAAUACUAAGUAAUCUUUACAUAGUAUUAGUAAAUUUGGCUGAAAGAACAAUUUAGGUAUUUCAGCCUUUUAGUAGAUAGUUCCCUAAUACCGUGGGAAUUAGGGAGUUAUCUACUUAUUGAUGCUGUCAUUACACUGACUGGCCAAGUAACUUACAUUUUAUAUGAAUGUAUGUUACUUGAUUGUUGUAAGUGUUGCAAAUGCUUACAGCUGAAUCCUGGCUAUGUUUGUAUACUUUUUAUUUAAAAUUGUAUACAAUGUAACAUUCUUCUUCUUUCACUGGGUAAGUAUAUUAGUACUUGGGUAAUACAUUUUACUUCCCUUUUGCAGCCCUCUAGCCCUUUCAGGACUUUUUUAGAACCCUUUUAGUGCCCAAAAGUUCGGGUCCCCAUUGAUUUCAAUGGUAUUUGGGUUCAGGGUCAAGUCCCAGUCCCGAACUCGAACUUUUUGCGGAAGUUUGGCCGAACCUGGCGAACCCGAACAUCCAGGUGUCCGCUCAUCUCUAGUUAGUAAUAAUGUGUGUAUUAAAUCUCUUAAUCUUUAGUGAAUAGAUACUUUGUAAUCCCAUAGCGGCAGGAAGUGAGGGUCACUGGAUUGGAAUAUUUAUUUAUUUAUUUAUUUUUUUUGUAAAUGUUUUCAAGAGUUAUCAAAAAGUUUCAAAAACGAGAACUGAAUAGCAUUAUUUAUCUAAAUCAUAGCAAAAACCAACAUCAACAUAGAGUGAUAAGGGGAGAGAUUAGCCUAAUAAUACAACAAACAACCUACAUUACAAAUGACAGGGGGCUUUAAAAAUACUAAUAUACUAAAAUGUAGAAAAAAUAAUGUUUUUACAAUUGUUUUCCAGAACAGUUCUUAUUAUAAGGGGUCAAUGAAUCAAUUCUAUUAAAGUAUACCACGGUAGAAAAUCAGGAAUGAAAAUAAAAGUUGAUACUUUAAAAAGAGAGUUCAGAGAAGGGCUACUAAACUGGUUCAUGAAUUGCAGGAUAAAACUUACCAGGAAAGGUUAAAGGAUCUUAACAUGUAUAGCUUGGAGGAAAGACGAGACAGGGGGAUAGGAUAGAAACAUUUAAAUAUAUGAAGGGAAUCAACACAGUAAAGGAGGAGACUAUAUUUAAAAGAAGAAAAACUACCACAACAAGAGGACAUAGUCUUAAAUUAGAGGGACAAAGGUUUACUGAGAGGGUAGUGGAUGCAUGGAAUAGCCUUCCAGCUGAAGUGGUAGAGGUUAACACAGUAAAGGAGUUUAAGCAUGCGUGGGAUAGGCAUAAGGCUAUCCUAACUAUAAGAUAAGGCCAGGGACUAAUGAAAGUAUUUAGAAAAUUGGGCAGACUAGAUGGGCCGAAUGGUUCUUAUCUGCCAUCAGAUUCUAUGUUUCUAAGUUAGUAAUUGGCAGUUUUAGAAGGAUCCUGUAGUGAAGCGUGCUGUAGUGGUUAAGGUGCCAGGAGUCAACUUGUCCUAUCUCACUAUAAGCUGUCAGUCACUUGUGUGUUGCAGUAAUCUGCUAAUAUAGAGCAGUAUUUUGAUUGACAAGUCCCGUGAGAGCUUCACAUUCUGUUAUUAUUCUGGUCGGAGUUACAGCACCGAGGUAAGUACCAUUGUUUAUUUAUUUCCAUAUUCAUUACUUUAAUGAGUAAAUAUCUGUUUUUAGAGCUCUUUCCUUUAUCAUUUUCUUCCAAAAUUUAAUUUUUUUUUUUAGAUAACAAUGUUUUUUUGUUUGUUUCUUUUUCAGUCAUUUAUUUCAAGAACACCUUCAGUAUAUUGGGUCGGAUUGACUUUGAAACAUGAUGAAUAUUCUAAAUCCAAGAUGUGGGUUUGGUCUGAUGGUACACUUGAGUAUGUUUCUAAUUAAUUUAUUUGCACAAUAUCUUCACAUUAGCAGUAGCAAACCAUGGCUCAUACUCACCCAAAAACUGAGAAAAACAAGAUUUGAUGUUUCAUGAUGAAGUUUCUGAUCUGAUAUGGCUCUUCUGGAUUUUGAAUUUUAAAGAGACGUAGAAACAUAGAAUGUGAUGGCAGAUAAGAACCAUUCGGCCCAUCUAGUCUGCCCAAUUUUCUAAAUACUUUAAUUAGUCCCUUGUCUUAUCUUAUAGUUAGGAUAGCCUUAUGCCUAUCCCACGCAUGCUUAAACUCCUUUACUGUGUUAACCUCUACCACUUCAGCUGGAAGGCUAUUCCAUGCAUCCACUACCCUCUCAGUAAAGUAAUACUUCCUGAUAUUAUUUUUAAACCUUUGUCCCUCUAAAACAUACACAGUUUCACAAAUACAUGAGGGAAAUACAGGCAGUCACAUAAACACGGAAGGGCAACGGUCCCGCCACAACACACACUACAUCCCUUACACAAACAUCCACACAUCACAUCCAGUAUACACACACACUACAUCCAUACACACACACCCUCUCCGUUGCUUAUGCACUCAAUCCUUGUGCUUGGACACAGGAGCAGGCACAAUUCUUGAGUUACGUAAGGGGCCCCAAACUUUCUGAUGGCAGCCCUGCACAUACAAUACAUAUUACACCAAUCUUAUAACUGCCAGGAAAAGUAAGGCUUAACCUUUAUUAAAGCACCAUGAUUCUCCAUAAACACAUACAUCAUGGAGGCAUUCAUGGAGCCAACAUAGCGACCAGUGGCGUACAUACCAGGGUCGCAGGGGUCGCAGCUGCGACCGGGCCCGGCCCACCAGGGGGCCCGGUCGCCCCUGCAACCCGGUAUGUACCCACAGGGCCAGCCUCUUCCCCUGGGGGCCCAGGAGGCGGCCACCUCAGGGCCCCCCCGAGGCUGGCCCUGCUGACCCCGGCGGGCUGUCUGUCUGGGUGGCCGGCACGCAAGGGAGCACUCUCUUCUGAGUGCUUCCUCUUCAGCUCCCUCGCGCACCGCACUGAUACCGGAGCUGGAAGAUGACGUCCUCUUCCGGCGCCGGCAUCCCUAUGCGGCGCAAGAGGAAGCUGAAGAGGAAGUACUCAGGGGAGAGUGCUCCCUCGCGCGCCGGCCACCCAGACAGACAGCCAGCCAGCCAGCCGAGCAGUACCACUGGACCCCAAGUGUUUUUGUGUUAGUGUGUGUGUGUGUGUGUGUGUGUUAGUGUGUGUUAAGACACCCCUUGUGUCUUUAAACGAAACCGCCGUUUAGUCCGCCUUCCCCUGCUGCAAUACAAAUAAUCCCCAUUCGCAUAAACUGCAGUGUACGAACCAAACUCGGGGGAAGCGGCAAUCUCCCGACCGGGAUCAGUGAAAGGCUCCAACCUCCCGAACGGAACUCCACGAACAGCUGCUAGCCGCCGAACAAUAAUAUCCACCAAGCGGCUUUCGGUUCCAUCCAGCAGUCUCUAAACGCAAAGAUGAAAUCCCCCCAAUAACAAGACAGAAGCUCCGCAUUGAGGGUCAAACAGGAUCUGGCUUUACUGUGGGCUACCUGCCCGUAUUUAUGCAGGUUUCCCACUUGGUGGACACUCCCCUAGGGGAACAAAUGAGAGACUUAAAUGACAGAUAUGGGGACAUUCCAGACACACAGUCACAGUUUUUACCCACAAUGCACUAUGGUUUCCUCCCCUCUGCCCUGGAGAUAAUUACCAAGUAACUCAAUUAUCUCCAGGACAAAGCCAGUCGCCAUUUUAAAUAUAAAAUCAGAAAAGACAUAAAAAUACAUAAUUUUACAAUAACCGAACAUUCUGCAUUCGUGUCACAUAUCCCCAGAUAGCCUGGAUCUGAGUGCAUAUUAUUAGCGAAUAGCGCUCAGAUCCCACACAGAUAGUUCAAUCGCCAUGGAGUCAAAGUUCUUACAGUCUUUCGUGAUACGAAUGACUCCAUGGGAAGGCUAUCUGGGUUAAAUCCUUUCGUAUGCUUCAAACCUCCCAAACGGCCGGUAUUCGUAUGCUUUUGUGGAGGCAGCCAGGCGUUCCGUUGUUUCAGCGGUGUUCGGCAGAAAACCGUCCGUCCGUCCAUUUUUAGUUCCAUGAAAUUAGAGCCGAACACCGCUGGGCUUUCGCGUGGUUUAAAAUGGCCACUGCCUCGUGGUCGACAUACGAACGACGACCACCCUGAAUUCGUUUAAUUGAGAAGUGUCUGCGGUUAACCACAACGUUCUAAUUGGGAUUAAUAGGUUAACCAGCAGCACACUUCUCUCCUUGGUGGCCGUCCGUUCGGCAGGUUUGUUCGGAAAAACAGUCAUUCGUAUGGCUGGGCUAUAGAAAACAGCCAUUUACACGAACAGGAUAGAAACAGACGAAUACACCUGCAAUAACCAGACAGAUGGUUCUGUCACAGUGUGUUUGUGUUAGUGUGUGUGUCAGUGAGUGUGUCUGUUAUUGGGUGUGUGUCUGCUAGUGAGUGUGUUACUGUGUGUGUCUGUUACUGAGUGUGUGUUUGUCAGUGAAAGUGUGUGUUUUGUAAGUGAGUGUGUAUGUCUGUCUGUCGCUGAGUGUGUCUCUGUCAGUAAAUGUGUGUGUCUGUUAGCUAGUGUGUAUGCGUCUGUUCGUGAGAGUGUGUGUGUCUUCAGCAUUUACCUUUCUCCAGCGUUGGACUCCCUUGGCACUGGGGAUCCCUCCGCCUCUCAGCUCCGAAUGCACAUGCGCGGCAAGAGGCGAGCGCGCAUUUAAACCGCCCGUAGGAAAGCAUUACUCAGUGCUUUCCUAUGGACGUUCAGUGUCUUCUCACUGUGAUUUUCACAGUGAGAAUCGCGGAAGCUCCUCUUGCAGCUGUCAAUGAGACAGCCACCAGAGGCUGGAUUAACCCUCAGUGAAACAUAGCCGUUUCUCUGAAACUGCUAUGUUUUCAACUGCACGGUUAAAACUAGAGGGACCUGGCACCCAGACCACUUCAUUGAGCUGAUGUGAUGUGGGUGUCUGUAUUGGUCCUUUAAGUGUGUGUGCAUACCGCGGUCGCGGGGUCGCAGCCCUGCAACCCCUGCGACCAGGUGCCCGCCGCCAUGUGUUGCGGCCCCGACCCAUGCCGAGUAAGCGCGGGGGGGCCACGGAUCAAUUUUCGCACCGGGGCCCCAUGGGUCAUGUGUACGCCACUGAUAGCGACACUCCCUGUACCUGUGGAGAGUUAGAAAUGCAUUGAAACAGUCUGUGUGUCGUGAGACAACUUCAUCAAUGACUGACAGAAAAGUCAGGUAGAUUGAUAGACACUCAGAGACAGGUUGUUAGUCUAUAUUAAUCAGCCUGCACCCGGUGUUUCUCUAGCUAAUGAAACAAAGAGAAUAAUCUGUGGCAUUAACUCUGGAUAGGUUAAUCUGAUGGCUGUUUUUAUAAAAAAGGUGACACGAUUUCAUUUUCUGUAUUUUCAGGAAUUCCGAGGAUUUCAGUUCCUCUGAUCAAUGCACUACAGCAAAUCCCAGUAUCGGAUUCAGCCAUUGUGAACAUGAGCUUCACUGGAUCUGUGAAAAUAUGAUUAAAAUGUCUAAUUUAAAGGAAAAAAUAAGGAAUUGUUAAAGCAAAACAAAG
This is a non-coding RNA of Pelobates cultripes (western spadefoot toad), 6358 nucleotides long. Lineage: Eukaryota; Metazoa; Chordata; Amphibia; Anura; Pelobatidae. The record is from the annotation of a GenBank genome assembly.